GACGAACGCUGGCGGCGUGCUUAACACAUGCAAGUCGAACGGAAAGGCCCUGCUUUUGUGGGGUGCUCGAGUGGCGAACGGGUGAGUAACACGUGAGUAACCUGCCCUUGACUUUGGGAUAACUUCAGGAAACUGGGGCUAAUACCGGAUAGGAGCUCCUGCUGCAUGGUGGGGGUUGGAAAGUUUCGGCGGUUGGGGAUGGACUCGCGGCUUAUCAGCUUGUUGGUGGGGUAGUGGCUUACCAAGGCUUUGACGGGUAGCCGGCCUGAGAGGGUGACCGGCCACAUUGGGACUGAGAUACGGCCCAGACUCCUACGGGAGGCAGCAGUGGGGAAUAUUGCACAAUGGGCGGAAGCCUGAUGCAGCAACGCCGCGUGCGGGAUGACGGCCUUCGGGCUGUAAACCGCUUUCGCCUGCGACGAAGCGUGAGUGACGGUAAUGGGUAAAGAAGCACCGGCUAACUACGUG
Molecule: ribosomal RNA, 468 nt
Filed under: uncultured bacterium
Lineage: Bacteria
Description: partial 16S ribosomal RNA
Rfam family: Bacterial small subunit ribosomal RNA
Source: RNAcentral